This 833-nucleotide ribosomal RNA is filed under the name Monocotylidae gen. n. sp. n. DG-2019. RNAcentral describes it as "partial large subunit ribosomal RNA". It matches the Rfam family "Eukaryotic large subunit ribosomal RNA", at positions 131 to 616 of the family's 3401-position model. The record is from RNAcentral. Lineage: Eukaryota; Metazoa; Platyhelminthes; Monogenea; Monocotylidea; Monocotylidae.
GACUGUAAGGUGAUGUGAUGUUGCGGAUUGUGCCUAGGGUCGUUGGUCAACUCGAAGUCCAAUAUUGAAUGUGGCUUUUGUAUUUAGCCCAGAGCGGGUGAUAGGCCCGUGCGAGUUGAUUGUUAGUCAUGUUGAACGGCCUCUAGACGCACAGUCCUUGGAGUCGGAUUGCUUGAGAAUGCAGUCCAAAGUUGGUGGUAAACUCCAUCAAAGGCUAAAUACCGACACGAGUCCGAUAGCAAACAAGUACCGUGAGGGAAAGUUGAAAAGUACUCUGAAGAGAGAGUAAAUAGUACGUGAAACCAUAUGCAGGUAAGCGGGUGGAGUCCAGCUGCGUGUUCUGGGGACUUAGCCAAUAGGCGAAUCAUGGGUGUUGUGAACUGCCACGUUGUCGUUUGCUUUGAAAGGCAAGUCGGGCUGAGCCCGAUGCGUGUUGCGUCCGGUAGACGAAAUGUGCGAUACGUGUGCGUGUGUUCGCCUAUUGGUGUCCUUCCUCAGGACGAACAUCACAGUCAAUAUGGCUGCUAGUAUGUGGUGCGUCAAACCGGCAAGUGGUGGGCCUCGAAGUUCAUCCUUGUCGGGAAGGCAGGUGGUGUGCGGUGGAGCUGUGUCGCUCUCUCGGGAGCGGGACGGCUGCGCUUGCAUGCUUAAACGUGGUUGCGGCCAGCCGACCAUCAUGUUGUGUGUUCACAUUUAACUAUGCAGUGUAUUGGUCAUUGUUUGUGCUUAACUCAGGGGCGUGGCGGUGUGUGGGCAUUGGUUUGGAUGCUUCCGUGUUGGGUUAUGCGUAACAGCGUGCCUGAUGCGCGACGUGUCUGCCUGCUCACAUGCCU